GCACCACAUUACUGAAUUCUUCUUGUCCCUAUUACCUAUACAUUCUUGGAAUUCAUUGACUAGUGACUAACAGGGCAUGCCAACUAGAGAAAAUGAAACUAUAUCUAAGCUAUUUAAAAUGUAAUUGUCACAAAAUGAGUGGUCUAAAUCUAUGACAAAUUGUUUUUUCUGUGGUAUGGAACUAUGGAUAGUGUCUGCUGAAAUCUCUAAUAACCAGAUGGUAAAUCAAUGUGUGUGAUCACAAAUGUGAAUUGGCAAGAAAGAAAGAUUCUAAAGGCACAACAAGAUUUCAGAUCCGAUGAGCUGUCAGUUAUUUUAAAACCUGUUCAAAUCACAAUUUAAUAGUUCAAAAUUUCGGUAUUAUCUCAAAUGUGGAGGAGAGCAAAGGUGUUGUGUUUCAUUGUUUAAGAUUUGUUAGUGGAGUUCGUGCAACUAAAUAUCCCCGCUUCACUGGUAUGUAGUUAUUCAGAACGAUUGUGGUAACUGAUAACAGCAUAAAAUCCAGAUCUCUUCUGUACAAACUGUAGUGAUUUAUUUGUUACUAACUUCUGUUGUGCUGAUUUGGUAUUUGCCGUCUAAGAUGCAAACUUGUAGAUUUUGACAGUACAGUUCUGGAAGAGAAAAUAUUUGGGAUUUUUCAGCUGCUUUCUCAAUUAAGUCACACAUUGCAUGCUGCAUUUUUGUACCUAACUUUAAUGUCAAGUACUCCCUCCGUUCACAAAUACUCCCUCCGUCCUAAAAUAAGUGUCGCUGAUUUAGUGCAACAACUUUGCACUAAAUCAGCGACACUUAUUUUAGGACGGAGGGAGUAUAAGAUGUUCUAACUUUUUUCUGAAUCGGGUGUAUAUAGACACGCAUUAGUGUGUUUGUCACUCAUUUCAGUCCUACGUAGUCCAUAUUAUAUCCAAAACAUCUUGUAUUUGUGAACGGAUGGAGUAGUUAACUGACCUAGUUUAAAAGACCAAGGAUCACAUCCUUUUUAAGCUCAAGGGAAAAAACAGAGCCACAUUGGAAGGCAAGAUGUAACAGUCUAAAAGGUUACAUUGAACUUCAUAUGUCGAUGUGUGGAGACAAUUCCCUGCAAAAAGCAUCAAACUGCGUAUGAUUAUAGCAAGUUAACCCUGUUGGUAUUCCUUUUUUCUCCUUUAUCUUUAUUUUUCAAGCGUUGACCAUUCCCUUCAACAGGCACAUCAAACUGCAGAUGAUUAUAACAAGCUUUCAAAAAUUGGCUCAGACACUACAUGUUGCGUUUUUUCCAGCAAUUUUCACGUCUUCGGUAGCUAAAUUAUCUACUCCUCUCUACAGACAUUAAUUAAGCCCUGACAAAAACAGAGUCGGCGUAGACAGACUUCAUGUAAAUGGAUAUUUGAGGAAACAGAAAACAGUUAGUUUGCUAUCUAGUACUCCCUCUGUCCGGAAAUACUUGUCCUAGAAAUGGUUGUAUCUAGACUUAUUUUAGUUAUAGAUACAUCCAUUUUAUCCAUUUUUAAGACAAAUAUUUCCGGACGGAGGGAGUACUUGAUUAAGUCAAUUAGAUUUAAUGCUAGUUUCCCUCUUUAAUAAACUCAACAAAGAACAGAAAAGAUGUGCUGCAUGGAAAAGUCCCACCCAACAGCUUGUAAAGUUGCAUUUCGAUUUAAAGCAUGCAUUGCAACAGCCGAUUCCCUCCAAAAUGCGUCCGAACUAGUUGACCUUUACAUACGCAUUCCUUGUGCUCUUUUAUUCCCCUUUUCAUACAAAGAAAGACAAGGUUGUUCUUUCCUUCCUCCUCAUCUUUUCUCCUUUGAUCCCUUUCCUUUUUCGCUUUUGCUCCUGCCCACACGCCUGAGUAAAACUAUUUUCGCCCCCAAACCGAGCGCUUUGCCUUUGCAUCUUGCUAAUCAUGCCCUUCAGCGUUCUUGAAAGAAGGCAAAGCUUGCGCUAAUGGAUCGGAAAGAGCUCAUCUCCCUCUUUUCAUUUCCCGUGCAACUUCCUCAGAUUCCUCUCCCGUGCACUGACUGACUGUUUCAGUAGCAUCUCUCCUCUUUCUUUCUAUGCUUUGGCAAACAUCUUUUUCUGUUCCUUUUCACUGGCUUAUAAACACAGGCGUUGCAUUGCACAGUCGGGCUGUCGUAUCGAUCCGUUAUCGCUUGAAGUUUCGGCUACCUAGCUAACUGGUAGAGUAGUGCGCAGGGUGCAGCAUGGGUUUUCAGAGAAAGAUUCUUCUGCCCGAGAGAGCCACCAUCCAGAAGACCGACGCUGGAACUCUGCAGCCGCUGAAGAUGAAGCGGCCUCGUGACGGUGAGGACGAAGGCGCUUCGGGGCCGCUGACGCCGACGGCGAACAGCGCAGGGACCGCGCAUCCGCGCUGCCCGCCGGCGCCGCCGAAGAAGCCGAGGCUCGUGCUGGGGUGCAGCCUGGACGGGUUCAAGGUUGUGAGCAUCAUGGACUUGCGUUGCUUCCUUCGUUGACGAGCCACCUUGCUUGCUUGUUUGUUUGUCUUUUUAGUUAGAGAAGAGAGGGGGUUUUGUUUUGGUGUUUUUGUGCUCUUCAACUCUUCUUUUUAACCGGAAUAAGCCUGUACAUUUGCAAUGAAUAGCUGUGCGUCAAGAGCAAUGGAUCGGUUUCAACAGUCA
RNA transcript from Triticum aestivum (bread wheat), 2615 nucleotides. RefSeq lists it as uncharacterized. The record is from RefSeq and is a predicted model, not a curated record. The transcript is spliced from 2 exons. Lineage: Eukaryota; Viridiplantae; Streptophyta; Magnoliopsida; Poales; Poaceae.